AUUGAACGCUGGCGGCAUGCCUUACACAUGCAAGUCGAACGGUAACAGGUUAAGCUGACGAGUUGCGAACGGGUGAGUAAUGUAUCGGAACGUGCCCAGUCGUGGGGGAUAACUUCUCGAAAGAGCAGCUAAUACCGCAUACGACCUGAGGGUGAAAGCGGGGGAUCGCAAGACCUCGCGCGAUUGGAGCUGCCGAUAUCAGAUUAGGUAGUUGGUGAGGUAAAGGCUCACCAAGCCGACGAUCUGUAGCUGGUCUGAGAGGACGACCAGCCACACUGGGACUGAGACACGGCCCAGACUCCUACGGGAGGCAGCAGUGGGGAAUUUUGGACAAUGGGCGCAAGCCUGAUCCAGCCAUGCCGCGUGCGGGAAGAAGGCCUUCGGGUUGUAAACCGCUUUUGUCAGGGAAGAAAAGGUUCUGGCUAAUACCUGGGACUCAUGACGGUACCUGAAGAAUAAGCACCGGCUAACUACGUG
Molecule: ribosomal RNA, 477 nt
Filed under: uncultured bacterium
Lineage: Bacteria
Description: partial 16S ribosomal RNA
Rfam family: Bacterial small subunit ribosomal RNA
Source: RNAcentral